UGCGCAGGCGGUUUUGCAAGCCGGAUGUGAAAUCCCCGGGCUUAACCUGGGAAUGGCAUUUGGGACUGCAAGGCUGGAGUGCGGCAGAGGAGACUGGAAUUCCUGGUGUAGCAGUGAAAUGCGUAGAUAUCAGGAGGAACACCGAUGGCGAAGGCAGGUCUCUGGGCUGACACUGACGCUCAUGCACGAAAGCGUGGGGAGCAAACA
RNAcentral lists this ribosomal RNA (207 nucleotides) under uncultured bacterium. RNAcentral describes it as "partial 16S ribosomal RNA". It matches the Rfam family "Bacterial small subunit ribosomal RNA", at positions 568 to 774 of the family's 1533-position model. The record is from RNAcentral.